Molecule: small RNA, 80 nt
Filed under: Vibrio cholerae O1 biovar El Tor str. N16961
Lineage: Bacteria; Pseudomonadati; Pseudomonadota; Gammaproteobacteria; Vibrionales; Vibrionaceae
Source: RNAcentral
AUUACACCAAGUUAGCCUCUGCAUUGUCGAGCAUUCAAGGUGCUGCAGUCAGCAUCGCGAUGGGCGACUGGACGGCCUUA